UUCAUUUUGCAUGAUAUCUAUAAUCAUUGUUCUUCCUUCAUCUUCAUUGUUGUGCUUCUUGUGUUAUUACUAUUCUUCUUUGUAAUUCCGCACUUUAUAGUAAAAAAAAAAAAAGAUCAAGAAGUCAAAAAAAAAAAGAGAGAAAAUCAAAGGUAAAAAAAAAAGAGAGAUCAAAAUUAUAAAAAAAAAAUUAUGGAUUCAAGGAUUUCUUGCAAAUUAUAGAAUUCUAUCUUUGUUCAUUUGAAGUCUUGUUUCAGUUUGGAAAUUUUUCUUCAUUCAAAAAAAAAAAAAUUCCUUUGUUCAAUUGGUAUUUGAAUUCUAGUCUUUGCUUAUAAUUAAAUUGCAUUACACACACCUUUAACUUGGCCUAUCUUUUGUUUGCUUUUAAACCUAC
RNAcentral lists this long non-coding RNA (394 nucleotides) under Musa acuminata (dwarf banana). Its description in RNAcentral is "long non-coding RNA (MACU_LNC008034)". The record is from RNAcentral. Lineage: Eukaryota; Viridiplantae; Streptophyta; Magnoliopsida; Zingiberales; Musaceae.